CUGAACAUUGAGCCUUGAUGUGUAGGAUAGGUGGGAGGCUUUGAAGUGUGGACGCCAGUCUGCAUGGAGCCGACCUUGAAAUACCACCCUUUAAUGUUUGAUGUUCUAACGUGGACCCGUAAUCCGGGUUGCGGACAGUGUCUGGUGGGUAGUUUGACUGGGGCGGUCUCCUCCUAAAGAGUAACGGAGGAGCACGAAGGUUGGCUAAUCCUGGUCGGACAUCAGGAGGUUAGUGCAAUGGCAUAAGCCAGCUUGACUGCGAGCGUGACGGCGCGAGCAGGUGCGAAAGCAGGUCAUAGUGAUCCGGUGGUUCUGAAUGGAAGGGCCAUCGCUCAACGGAUAAAAGGUACUCCGGGGAUAACAGGCUGAUACCGCCCAAGAGUUCAUAUCGACGGCGGUGUUUGGCACCUCGAUGUCGGCUCAUCACAUCCUGGGGCUGAAGUAGGUCCCAAGGGUAUGGCUGUUCGCCAUUUAAAGUGGUACGCGAGCUGGGUUUAGAACGUCGUGAGACAGUUCGGUCCCUAUCUGCCGUGGGCGCUGGAGAACUGAGGGGGGCUGCUCCUAGUACGAGAGGACCGGAGUGGACGCAUCACUGGUGUUCGGGUUGUCAUGCCAAUGGCACUGCCCGGUAGCUAAAUGCGGAAGAGAUAAGUGCUGAAAGCAUCUAAGCACGAAACUUGCCCCGAGAUGAGUUCUCCCUGAGACUUAGAGUCUCCUGAAGGAAC
This 725-nucleotide ribosomal RNA is filed under the name Salmonella enterica subsp. enterica serovar Newport. Its description in RNAcentral is "partial 23S ribosomal RNA". It matches the Rfam family "Bacterial large subunit ribosomal RNA", at positions 2117 to 2836 of the family's 2925-position model. The record is from RNAcentral. Lineage: Bacteria; Pseudomonadati; Pseudomonadota; Gammaproteobacteria; Enterobacterales; Enterobacteriaceae.